This 1472-nucleotide ribosomal RNA is filed under the name uncultured bacterium. RNAcentral's name for it is "bacterial SSU rRNA". It matches the Rfam family "Bacterial small subunit ribosomal RNA". The record is from RNAcentral.
GGCGGCGUGCCUAAUACAUGCAAGUAGAACGCUGAAGAGAGGAGCUUGCUCUUCUUGGAUGAGUUGCGAACGGGUGAGUAACGCGUAGGUAACCUGCCUUGUAGCGGGGGAUAACUAUUGGAAACGAUAGCUAAUACCGCAUAACAAUGGAUGACACAUGUCAUUUAUUUGAAAGGGGCAAUUGCUCCACUACAAGAUGGACCUGCGUUGUAUUAGCUAGUAGGUGAGGUAAUGGCUCACCUAGGCGACGAUACAUAGCCGACCUGAGAGGGUGAUCGGCCACACUGGGACUGAGACACGGCCCAGACUCCUACGGGAGGCAGCAGUAGGGAAUCUUCGGCAAUGGGGGCAACCCUGACCGAGCAACGCCGCGUGAGUGAAGAAGGUUUUCGGAUCGUAAAGCUCUGUUGUAAGUCAAGAACGGGUGUGAGAGUGGAAAGUUCACACUGUGACGGUAGCUUACCAGAAAGGGACGGCUAACUACGUGCCAGCAGCCGCGGUAAUACGUAGGUCCCGAGCGUUGUCCGGAUUUAUUGGGCGUAAAGCGAGCGCAGGCGGUUUGAUAAGUCUGAAGUUAAAGGCUGUGGCUCAACCAUAGUUCGCUUUGGAAACUGUCAAACUUGAGUGCAGAAGGGGAGAGUGGAAUUCCAUGUGUAGCGGUGAAAUGCGUAGAUAUAUGGAGGAACACCGGUGGCGAAAGCGGCUCUCUGGUCUGUAACUGACGCUGAGGCUCGAAAGCGUGGGGAGCGAACAGGAUUAGAUACCCUGGUAGUCCACGCCGUAAACGAUGAGUGCUAGGUGUUGGAUCCUUUCCGGGAUUCAGUGCCGCAGCUAACGCAUUAAGCACUCCGCCUGGGGAGUACGACCGCAAGGUUGAAACUCAAAGGAAUUGACGGGGGCCCGCACAAGCGGUGGAGCAUGUGGUUUAAUUCGAAGCAACGCGAAGAACCUUACCAGGUCUUGACAUCCCGAUGCUAUUUCUAGAGAUAGAAAGUUACUUCGGUACAUCGGUGACAGGUGGUGCAUGGUUGUCGUCAGCUCGUGUCGUGAGAUGUUGGGUUAAGUCCCGCAACGAGCGCAACCCCUAUUGUUAGUUGCCAUCAUUCAGUUGGGCACUCUAGCGAGACUGCCGGUAAUAAACCGGAGGAAGGUGGGGAUGACGUCAAAUCAUCAUGCCCCUUAUGACCUGGGCUACACACGUGCUACAAUGGUUGGUACAACGAGUUGCGAGUCGGUGACGGCGAGCUAAUCUCUUAAAGCCAAUCUCAGUUCGGAUUGUAGGCUGCAACUCGCCUACAUGAAGUCGGAAUCGCUAGUAAUCGCGGAUCAGCACGCCGCGGUGAAUACGUUCCCGGGCCUUGUACACACCGCCCGUCACACCACGAGAGUUUGUAACACCCGAAGUCGGUGAGGUAACCUUUUGGAGCCAGCCGCCUAAGGUGGGACAGAUGAUUGGGGUGAAGUCGUAACAA